This 1342-nucleotide ribosomal RNA is filed under the name uncultured bacterium. RNAcentral describes it as "bacterial SSU rRNA". It matches the Rfam family "Bacterial small subunit ribosomal RNA", at positions 28 to 1381 of the family's 1533-position model. The record is from RNAcentral.
GACGAACGCUGGCGGCGUGCUUAACACAUGCAAGUCGAACGAUGAUGCCCAGCUUGCUGGGUGGAUUAGUGGCGAACGGGUGAGUAACACGUGAGUAACCUGCCCCUGACUCUGGGAUAAGCGUUGGAAACGACGUCUAAUACUGGAUAUGAUCACCGGCCGCAUGGUCUGGUGGUGGAAAGAUUUUUUGGUUGGGGAUGGACUCGCGGCCUAUCAGCUUGUUGGUGAGGUAAUGGCUCACCAAGGCGACGACGGGUAGCCGGCCUGAGAGGGUGACCGGCCACACUGGGACUGAGACACGGCCCAGACUCCUACGGGAGGCAGCAGUGGGGAAUAUUGCACAAUGGGCGAAAGCCUGAUGCAGCAACGCCGCGUGAGGGAUGACGGCCUUCGGGUUGUAAACCUCUUUUAGUAGGGAAGAAGCGAAAGUGACGGUACCUGCAGAAAAAGCACCGGCUAACUACGUGCCAGCAGCCGCGGUAAUACGUAAGGUGCAAGCGUUGUCCGGAAUUAUUGGGCGUAAAGAGCUCGUAGGCGGUUUGUCGCGUCUGCUGUGAAAUCCCGAGGCUCAACCUCGGGCUUGCAGUGGGUACGGGCAGACUAGAGUGCGGUAGGGGAGAUUGGAAUUCCUGGUGUAGCGGUGGAAUGCGCAGAUAUCAGGAGGAACACCGAUGGCGAAGGCAGAUCUCUGGGCCGUAACUGACGCUGAGGAGCGAAAGCGUGGGGAGCGAACAGGAUUAGAUACCCUGGUAGUCCACGCCGUAAACGUUGGGCGCUAGAUGUAGGGACCUUUCCACGGUUUCUGUGUCGUAGCUAACGCAUUAAGCGCCCCGCCUGGGGAGUACGGCCGCAAGGCUAAAACUCAAAGGAAUUGACGGGGGCCCGCACAAGCGGCGGAGCAUGCGGAUUAAUUCGAUGCAACGCGAAGAACCUUACCAAGGCUUGACAUACACCGGAAACGGCCAGAGAUGGUCGCCCCCUUGUGGUCGGUGUACAGGUGGUGCAUGGUUGUCGUCAGCUCGUGUCGUGAGAUGUUGGGUUAAGUCCCGCAACGAGCGCAACCCUCGUUCUAUGUUGCCAGCGCGUUAUGGCGGGGACUCAUAGGAGACUGCCGGGGUCAACUCGGAGGAAGGUGGGGAUGACGUCAAAUCAUCAUGCCCCUUAUGUCUUGGGCUUCACGCAUGCUACAAUGGCCGGUACAAAGGGCUGCGAUACCGUAAGGUGGAGCGAAUCCCAAAAAGCCGGUCUCAGUUCGGAUUGAGGUCUGCAACUCGACCUCAUGAAGUCGGAGUCGCUAGUAAUCGCAGAUCAGCAACGCUGCGGUGAAUACGUUCCCGGGCCU